This 379-nucleotide unclassified non-coding RNA is filed under the name soil metagenome. RNAcentral describes it as "partial contains 5.8S ribosomal RNA, internal transcribed spacer 2, and large subunit ribosomal RNA". The stretch from base 1 to 120 matches the Rfam family "5.8S ribosomal RNA", at positions 35 to 154 of the family's 154-position model. The record is from RNAcentral.
GAUGAAGAACGCAGCGAAAUGCGAUAAGUAAUGUGAAUUGCAGAAUUCAGUGAAUCAUCGAAUCUUUGAACGCACCUUGCACCCUUUGGCAUUCCGAAGGGUAUGCUCGUUUGAGUGUCAUUGUACUCUCACACUUCCAAUCUUUGGAUUGGGGGCGGUGGACUUGGGUGUUGCUGCUUACUGUGGCUCACCUCAAAUUGAUUCGUGCACCUCUUGGUUGGACAUAGUACGGCGUGAUAAGUGUCUUCGCCGGCACCUCAGUAGAGGGUGGCUGAUCGGGAGCUCUGUGCUUCAAACCGUCCUCGGACAACAACUGACAACUUGACCUCAAAUCGAGUAGGACUACCCGCUGAACUUAAGCAUAUUAAUAAGCGGAGGA